CUCUCUUGACGAAUGAAACGCCCAUCUUCCAUGGGGAGCACCUCUACCGACUGAGGAAACCAAGCAGCAGCCUCUCCUCCUUGAAGUGGCUGGCGACACCUUUCCGGUGUCGCGCACAGGCAUUGCCCACUUAGCUGACCAUGCAAACAAACGCAAAGCACUUGCUGAGCCCGUGUUUCGAUGAUGAAAGUGGCGCCGGUGUACCGAAAGGUACUGAAGCAGCUGCACAAGGCCUGCUACACCCGUCCACACUAUGUGCAGGACAUCCGGUUUCUUCUCUCUUUCCCUCUUCACACAACAGGCAGUGAACCGAGCACAGCGGUGCCAGGCACAACGUCCUCCUCGCGUACGGUGAACCCAGCAGCGACUCCGGGCACGACCCCAGCUGAUGCGUCGAAAUCGCCAAAGUCGUCUUCGGGGAAGACGACAAGCCGCGAUCCCGUCGCGGGGCACCUCCUGCGGCCGAGUUCCGAAUGCUACCCUAUUGACACAACCACGCUCUUUGCGAUGUGCUAUACCGACUUACACAACGCAGUGCAAGAAUCGGCGCCGGUGGCAGCCGGCAUGAACCCGGUAGCCAUGCAGAUUGUGCGGUACCGCAACCUUCUGUGGCUUCAGGAACGGCUCGGGCGCGUCCUUAGUAGCAAGACCCAGCAGCUGCUGGCUACCUCACUGAGCAUCUCCAGGGGGCCAGCCGAACAUGACUUCAUUCCAGACGAAUACUUUGAGAGCAAGUCGCAGAACAACGGGAGUGCCCACCUCUCCGCGACGACGGCUUCUCAGCAGGCAGAGGCAGCAGCCACGGCCGCAACGUCGACACGGUCUACUUCAGGUAAGGCAUCCAAGGAGGCUACGGAAUCUUUCGCACCCGCCACCACUGACGGCGGCUUGGCGGAAGUGGUGGAGGAGAGCGACCCAGACAUCGUCUACUCCGCCGGCGCCAUUGGCCAGCAGCAAGAAAUGUUUGUCCUUCGCCACCGUGAGUCUUUCCCAAUGGCAGAGCAGUUUUUAGCCGGGUUUCCCACCGUCACAGCAGCCGAACUGGCUACGUGCGCGUAUCAGCGAGCGGCAUUGACACAGCUGGUGCGGCAGAAGUUCCCGACAACGCUGACGUGCCAGGACGCGAAUGUAAGUCUCUCUGUUUCUUUAGAGCCGUACGAUGUGCAGUACACAAGCAAGGAGCACGCUGGCAUGGGAUACUUCGCAGCCGCACACCGACAGUUUCGCGUCCGGUUCUCGCUUGCGCCUCUGUCGCCGGAGGGGUCAGGGGCGGAGCGAAUCGAGGUGCUCGUCGUGAACUCGUACUUUGUGCGACUGGACAUGGAGCUGAUGCAGCUGGUCGAGGAGGUGGGCUAUCUCCACAGCAGCGACGUCCUUCGCAUGCUGCGCGAGCGCGAUUACGGCGAUCAUUUUAGCGAGCUAAUCGGCAGCGGAGUUGCCGAGGUGCUCGGUGAGGGAGUCUUUGCAGGGCCAAACGAAGGAAAAGGUGCGGUUGCGGCGACCUCGGCAGACAAGCGCACCGGCAUCGAGUCCUCGGUGACCUCCCCCGCGCCGGCGACCGUCGCUGAGGGCUCUCGAGUAUUCUCGCUCUACUUUGUGAAUCACAGCGACGCACCCAUGGUACUGAAGGGGUUGCUGUACUACAAGCUGGGCAAGCGUCGCAACUUGGCCCAUGCACCCAUUCAGUGCAUUCCGUUUGGUUUUCUCCUGAUGGAGGCGUAAACCGGUGGAGAGUCGAGAACGACGGCCGCGGCGAAGGGAGCUCGUGUCCACUAGCGAGGGCGGGAACGCUUCGGCUCGCCACCUGGAGCAACGAAAGAAACCCAGACGCGAGAGAGGAACCGUGGGCGGAGAAGCGCAUGGCUGUUGAACGUCCCCCAUGCACUUCGCACACCAUCACGAAGACUGGAGCUCACCGUUUGGCGCCGAACAGCACUGCUUGAGUGCCUGUUUCCCCUUCCCUUUCCCGACUAGAUUGGAACGGUCUAUAGCUAUAU
Molecule: unclassified non-coding RNA, 1997 nt
Filed under: Leishmania donovani
Lineage: Eukaryota; Euglenozoa; Kinetoplastea; Trypanosomatida; Trypanosomatidae
Description: gene:LdHU3.35.3500(CDS-product:hypothetical_prote in_conserved)
Source: RNAcentral